This 324-nucleotide ribosomal RNA is filed under the name uncultured eukaryote. RNAcentral's name for it is "partial 18S ribosomal RNA". It matches the Rfam family "Eukaryotic small subunit ribosomal RNA", at positions 1470 to 1796 of the family's 1831-position model. The record is from RNAcentral.
CCCUUAGAUGUUCUGGGCCGCACGCGCGCUACACUGAUGCAUUCAACGAGUUUCUUCCUGGUCCGAGAGGAAUGGGUAACCUUUUUAAAGUGCAUCGUGAUAGGGAUAGACUAUUGCAAUUAUUGGUCUUCAACGAGGAAUUCCUAGUAGACGUAGUUCAUCAGACUGCAUCGAUUACGUCCCUGCCCUUUGUACACACCGCCCGUCGCUCCUACCGAUUGAAUGCUCAGGUGAGCCAUUCGGACUUUCAUCAUGCUGGUUUCCAGUUUUGAUGAAGGAAAGUCUUGCGAACCUUAUCAUUUAGAGGAAGGAGAAGUCGUAACA